UACGGGGGGGGCAAGCGUUGUUCGGAAUUACUGGGCGUAAAGGGCGCGUAGGCGGCCUGCUAAGUCGGAUGUGAAAUCCCUCGGCUCAACCGAGGAACUGCGUCCGAUACUGGCGGGCUUGAAUCCGGGAGAGGGAUGCGGAAUUCCAGGUGUAGCGGUGAAAUGCGUAGAUAUCUGGAGGAACACCGGUGGCGAAGGCGGCAUCCUGGACCGGCAUUGACGCUGAGGCGCGAAAGCCAGGGGAGCAAACGGG
This 253-nucleotide ribosomal RNA is filed under the name uncultured bacterium. RNAcentral describes it as "partial 16S ribosomal RNA". It matches the Rfam family "Bacterial small subunit ribosomal RNA", at positions 524 to 776 of the family's 1533-position model. The record is from RNAcentral.